AGAGUUUGAUCCUGGCUCAGAUUGAACGCUGGCGGAAUGCUUUACACAUGCAAGUCGAACGGUAGAGGGGGCAACCCCUUGAGAGUGGCGAACGGGUGAGUAAUGUAUCGGAACGUGCCCAGUCGUGGGGGAUAACGUAGUGAAAAUUACGCUAAUACCGCAUACGAUCUAUGGAUGAAAGCGGGGGAUCGCAAGACCUCGCGCGAUUGGAGCGGCCGAUAUCAAAUUAGGUAGUUGGUGAGGUAAAGGCUCACCAAGCCAACGAUCUGUAGCUGGUCUGAGAGGACAACCAGCCACACUGGAACUGAAACACGGUCCAGACUCCUACGGGAGGCAGCAGUGGGGAAUUUUGGACAAUGGACGCAGUCUGAUCCAGCUAUUCCGGGGGCAGGAAAAGGCCUUCCGGUUGUAAACUGCUUUUGUACGGAACAAAAAGCUCUUUUUUAAUACUAGG
RNAcentral lists this ribosomal RNA (454 nucleotides) under uncultured bacterium. RNAcentral describes it as "bacterial SSU rRNA". It matches the Rfam family "Bacterial small subunit ribosomal RNA", at positions 8 to 468 of the family's 1533-position model. The record is from RNAcentral.